ACUUUGAAGCAAAGGUUUUCUUUGAGUAAUAGUGUAAUCGAAUUUGAUAAUCAGCUAUCAAUGUAUCUGAACAACAGUUACACAAAGUAUUUCUUAUAUAAGAUGGUAAUCACCAGCAGACUGUACAUAACAUGCCUGCUCUAGAUCACAAUACCAAAACAGGAAGAUAAAUAAUUCUACUGACUGCUACCUCAUUUAAAUGAGUCAGACAGGCUUGACAUGCUAAAUUGGUGGAUAAAAACGACUGCUCCGUAUGGGAGGGCUGGUUUGUACUUCUACAACAUUUCUGAUGAGUACUAGCAAGACAACAAAAUGCUUUUCAACAAGACAACACAUUUCAAAACCAGGCCCUAAGUGAAAGUAACUGGGUACCAUGUCAAGGUAGAAUUCUGGAUAUGGUAGGCUGUGCUCCCAAAUAGUUAGCCCCUGCCACACAUCCAUCCCCAUAAUGACAUGGUUUCCCCCAGUGGGAGUGUCACUGAAAGUGUAUAAGAUUCAGCCCUCUGAAUACUGAGUUAGUCAAAUCAAUUUGUCUGCGUUUGACCUGCAGUCACUUCCAAACUACAAGUUGGAAUCCCUGUGUGAGACCUGGCACCGCGUGCCAACAGCAUCCCCUCUACUGUGCCUGAGGUGGAGACAGGCUUCAGAGAUGCCUUGGCUGUCACCUGCAAUCACGGGUGAUUGCCUGCAGCUGUCGGUUCCCUUUCGGAACUGGCCACACCCCUCUUUCAAUCUCUCUCUCACACUGCAACUGCUUACCUGGCGGCAGGACAAGCACCUUGCUCUCCACUUACCUUUUCCCCUAUACUUAAUAAAUAUAUAUACUGGUUAACUUAAGGUAUUUGUGUCUGUGUUCUCCUUAUGUUGCUUCCCAAGAGCCGGGUCGUAACACAACUAACUCACGUCCACUCUGUAAGCCUGGACCACGUUCAAAUCAGAUAGUCGGUCCCUUGAGUACCUCAGUUGUGAAGAAAGUGCAAAAUGUAAAACUCCCAAAAGCACGU
Clupea harengus (Atlantic herring) is the source of this 1004-nucleotide long non-coding RNA. The record is from Ensembl. NCBI's taxonomy places the organism in Eukaryota, Metazoa, Chordata, Actinopteri, Clupeiformes, Clupeidae.